UCAUCAUGCCCCUUAUGACCUGGGCUACACACGUGCUACAAUGGUUGGUACAACGGAGUUGCGAGUCGGUGACGGCGAGCUAAUCUCUUAAAGCCAAUCUCAGUUCGGAUUGUAGGCUGCAACUCGCCUACAUGAAGUCGGAAUCGCUAGUAAUCGCGGAUCAGCAUGCCGCGGUGAAUACCGGUUCCCGGGCCUU
RNAcentral lists this ribosomal RNA (196 nucleotides) under uncultured Streptococcus sp. Its description in RNAcentral is "partial 16S ribosomal RNA". It matches the Rfam family "Bacterial small subunit ribosomal RNA", at positions 1190 to 1382 of the family's 1533-position model. Lineage: Bacteria; Bacillati; Bacillota; Bacilli; Lactobacillales; Streptococcaceae. The record is from RNAcentral.